UUUUCUAUAAAAGCGUAUUUAUUUUGUUAGGUUUUUUAACCUAUUAUUUAUAUUUAAUAUUUUAGUUGAAUUUGAAUUUUUAAAUUUUUUUUUAUUUUGAAUUGUCAUCUGUCCUUAAUAAGUAUGCCAAAUUUCGAGUUAAUCCGAUGUUUUGAAGGAGGUCAAAAUCAUGUUCAAAGAUUCCGUUACAUACUAACAUUCGUAGACUAACAUGCAUACGUUUGAAGCUAAUAAAAGCGUAUUAACAAAAUCAUGUAAGCUUAACGAAAUGAUUAAAUUCAUAUUCAAGACCGCGACAUCUAUUGUUCAUAUUAUAAACUAAGAAUACUCGUGUUGUAAUAUGGUAAGCGCAUCCAUUCGAAGAAAAUCAAUCCUUGGCUUAUUCGAGCUCAGGUUUAACGGCGCGUUGUAAUAGUAAGACUAUUUGUCGGCAGAUGGCGCGCUUAAGCAUAUUCAAAGAUGAACUAAAUUAGAAACUAGAUUAUAUUUGGGGAUAUCAUUGUUUAUGCGAUGAUUAAAUUAUUUCUUAUAAGAAACAAACAAAUGUCAAUUUGUAAUUGUCAAAUUGUAAGGAUUUUUUUUAAAUCUUAUACUUAUACCAUCUUAUACUAAUCUACUAUUAGUCCCCGAUAUAUCAACUAUCACGGGACUCAUUAAGGAACUUAUUAAAUGAAGUGAAAAUUCUGUUAAGAACGAGAUAAAUAAUAAUAUCUAAAAAGAAGAUGGCGCGGCGUCGCAAUUUUAAAAGAAUUCGGAGCACAGAAAGAUCACUAAUUGUUAAUUUCAAACGAGUCAAUUCCAGAGAGAACAGAUUGUAUGAGAACAAAACGGCCAAUUCAGGGUUAUAAGAUGUUUUUAGAGGAAUAUAAAAUUGUUUGUCUUCUGGAGUUACGAACACAAGAUAUUUGACAGAUGCCUGAAUCCCGCUUACGACAUUUUCAAGAUAAGCUUUCAUUUAAACAAGUUCCGAACAACAACAUUCGGACUGCCGAGCUAUUUCACCCGCUCGGUGGAAGAUCUUCCGUUUGUCGUAAAUCUCCUGUAAACAUUUAAGCCCCGGAGUUUACACUUGUAUAUUGAGAAGUGAGAUAAACUAGGGCGAUUUUUUUAUUAAUUAAAAUCUGUUAACGAAUGAAAA
This is a long non-coding RNA of Bombyx mori (domestic silkworm), 1138 nucleotides long. RefSeq lists it as uncharacterized. The record is from RefSeq and is a predicted model, not a curated record. NCBI's taxonomy places the organism in Eukaryota, Metazoa, Arthropoda, Insecta, Lepidoptera, Bombycidae. The transcript is spliced from 2 exons.